GCCAUAUUUCACACAGGAGCUUGUGAAGGAGAUGAAAAAAGCCCCCUAUACCCUUGUUACAGAUGGGUUAAAUGACACUGGAGUGGCAAAGAUGAACCCGCUUACUGUCCGGAUCUUCAUGGGCAGAAAAGUUGUCCACCAGUUCUUGAAUAUGUGCACAACAACUGGGACGAGAUGUGGGACAGCAAGUGAGAUCUUCACCAAAAUGAGCACCGCCUUAGAGGAGCAUGACAUCCCUUGGGAGAACUGCAUUGGUCUCUCAGUCGAUAAUGCAGCUGUGAACGUUGGAUCACGUAAUUCCAUUGCCUCUAGGGUCCUCCAAAAGCAUCCCAACACCUAUAUUCAUGGUUGUCCUUGUCAUGUGGCACAUAACACCGCCAAAGCUGCAGGAGUGGGAUUUUUUAAAGUGUCACAUUUUGAUUUGGAGGACAUGAUAGUGGACAUCGGUUACUGGUUCAAGGGUAGCACAAAUCGGAAAGGAUACCUGAGAGAGUUUUGUGAGCUCCAUGAAGCGGAGUACAUGGAGGUCCUCCUCCAUGUCUCGGUUCGUUGGCUAAGCCUUGAACGCUGUGUGACCAGGAUCCUGAGGCUUUAUGAACCUCUGGCCAGCUACUUCAAAUCUGCUGAUGAAAACCAGGCCAGGUUCAAGAGGCUUGUGCAGACGUUCACUGACCCCAUGACAGAAGUGUACCUGCUGUUCUUUCAAUCCACCGUUCCAACUUUCACUACUUUCAACUUGCUUCUUCAAAGAGAGCGGUCAUCAAUAUUUAUGUUGUAUGAUGAGAUGGAGAAAUUUGUACGCAAGCUUUGUUCAAAGUUCAUUGUUCCAGCAGCUCUGCAGGGCCUUGAGGAGCCUGGUGACAUUGCCUUUGGAGAGACGGCAAACCAUUUGCCAGGAAGAAAGUUGAACAUUGGGUUCACAACCAGGGCUAAACUCAACAGGCUACUUGACGAGGGUGACAUCACACCACAGCAGGUGGAUUCAUUCCAUGAAGCUGUGGUAUGUUUCCUGACAAGUGCUGUGGCCUAUGCACUAAAGAAGCUGCCACUGAAAGAGCCACUGCUCAAACAUUCAAAAUUUGUAGACGUACGGCAGAGGGCUGAAAGUGACAUCGGAGCUGUCCUGUACUUUGUUGAAAGGUUUCCCCAUCUCCUCCCAUACCAUGGUCCAGAGGAGCAUGACCUUCUGGGUGAGGAGUUUCUAAGUUAUCAGACCAUGCCAAUGAUAUCCCUGCAGGAUGAAACUGAAAUGGAAAGCUUCUGGGCUGAAAUGGCAACCCGGAAACAUAAGGUGACAGGAGCCAACGAAUUUCAGAGGCUUGCUGCCGUUGCCAAGCUGGUCCUGGUGUUGCCCCAUUCCAACGCAGACGCUGAGUGGGUGUUUUCAGUUGUGGGACUGAACAAAACAAAGACCAGAAACAGCCUAGCACUGGAUGGCACCCUGUCCUCAAUAAUGACCAUAAAGAUGGCCGACCUGGAGCCCUGUUUCAAAUGGGAGCCCCCCUCAGAUGUCCUCAAGGCCUCCAAGAAGGCCACAGGCCAGUAUAACCGUGCCCACAGAUCAUAGACGAGGACUAACUUCUGAUCUGCAUCUGAUACGGAUGACUUCAUUUUUUGUUAUUUUUGUAAUGCAUUCAUCUUUUAUUGCUUGAAAAAGUUGUACUGUUUAAGCACUGUUUC
Long non-coding RNA from Gadus morhua (Atlantic cod), 1680 nucleotides. Lineage: Eukaryota; Metazoa; Chordata; Actinopteri; Gadiformes; Gadidae. The record is from Ensembl.